Molecule: unclassified non-coding RNA, 569 nt
Filed under: Paecilomyces variotii
Lineage: Eukaryota; Fungi; Ascomycota; Eurotiomycetes; Eurotiales; Thermoascaceae
Description: sequence contains 18S rRNA gene, ITS1, 5.8S rRNA gene, ITS2, 28S rRNA gene
Rfam family: 5.8S ribosomal RNA (bases 194-347)
Source: RNAcentral
GAUCAUUACCGAGUGAGGGUCCCUCGGGGCCCAACCUCCCAUCCGUGUUGUCCUGACACCUGUUGCUUCGGCGGGCCCGCCGUGGUUCACGCCCCGGCCGCCGGGGGGUUCACGCCCCCGGGCCCGCGCCCGCCGAAGACCCCUGGAACGCUGCCUGGAAGGUUGCCGUCUGAGUAUACAAUCAAUCAAUUAAAACUUUCAACAACGGAUCUCUUGGUUCCGGCAUCGAUGAAGAACGCAGCGAAAUGCGAUAAGUAAUGUGAAUUGCAGAAUUCCGUGAAUCAUCGAAUCUUUGAACGCACAUUGCGCCCCCUGGCAUUCCGGGGGGCAUGCCUGUCCGAGCGUCAUUGCUAACCCUCCAGCCCGGCUGGUGUGUUGGGCCGCCGUCCCCCCUCCCCGGGGGACGGGCCCGAAAGGCAGCGGCGGCGUCGCGUCCGGUCCUCGAGCGUAUGGGGCUCUGUCACACGCUUCAGUAGAACCGGCCGGCUUGCUGGCCAUCACCUAUAUUUUUCUCUUAGGUUGACCUCGGAUCAGGUAGGGAUACCCGCUGAACUUAAGCAUAUCAAUAA